The sequence is a non-coding RNA, 349 nucleotides long. It matches the Rfam family "transfer-messenger RNA". Rfam says of the family: Bacterial tmRNA, also known as 10Sa RNA or SsrA, is named for its dual tRNA and mRNA-like properties. The record is from Rfam.
GGGGGUGCACUGGUUUCGACGGGGGUCACAUCUACUGGGGCAGCCAUCCGUAGAACGCCGGAGUCUACGUUAAAAGCUGGCACUUAAAGUAAACGCUGAAGAUAAUUUAGCAAUCGCUGCCUAAUUAAGGCGCAGUCCUCCUAGGUCUUCCGCAGCCUAGAUCAGGGCUUCGACUCGCGGAUCCUUCACCUGGCAAAGCUUUGAGCCAACGUGAACACUAUGAAGCUACUAAAAUCUAGAGCCUGUCUUUGGGCGCUAGAUGGAGGGAAUGUCAAAACAAAGAAUAUGAUGGUAGAGACCACGCUAUAUGGGCUUUCGGACAGGGGUUCGAUUCCCCUCACCUCCAUUA